RNAcentral lists this ribosomal RNA (502 nucleotides) under uncultured bacterium. RNAcentral's name for it is "bacterial SSU rRNA". It matches the Rfam family "Bacterial small subunit ribosomal RNA", at positions 903 to 1397 of the family's 1533-position model. The record is from RNAcentral.
AAAGGAAUUGACGGGGGCCCGCACAAGCGGCGGAGCAUGUUGCUUAAUUCGACGCAACGCGAAGAACCUUACCAGGGCUUGACAUCACCCGGACGACCUCAGAGAUGGGGUUUCCCUUCGGGGCCGGGUGACAGGUGGUGCAUGGCUGUCGUCAGCUCGUGUCGUGAGAUGUUGGGUUAAGUCCCGCAACGAGCGCAACCCCCGUCCCAUGUUGCCAGCACGCCCGUUUGGGUGGUGGGGACUCAUGGGAGACUGCCGGGGUCAACUCGGAGGAAGGUGGGGACGACGUCAAGUCAUCAUGCCCCUUAUGCCCUGGGCUGCAAACAUGCUACAAUGGCCGGUACAGCGGGAUGCGAUCCCGUGAGGGGGAGCGGAUCCCUAAAAGCCGGUCUCAGUUCGGAUCGGGGUCUGCAACUCGACCCCGUGAAGCCGGAGUCGCUAGUAAUCGCGGAUCAGCAAUGCCGCGGUGAAUACGUUCCCGGGCCUUGUACACACCGCCCGU